AACAGGUAGAUAGAUUAGUUUGUAGUUGGACAGAAGUGAGAGUGAGUGUGAGAGCGAGAGAGGUGCGAAGAGACCUCUUCUAGUUGAAAAACAACAUUUUCAGAACUUGCAACAUUUAUUGGAAAUAAAAUAUGUACUCCAGCACAACAAAGAACAGAUGAUCUCACAACAGUGGGGAGAUUAACUAAUUAAAAGCGUAUGCUUCGCAGUUUUAGACACGAGUGGAAUUUUUUAAUUUAUAUAUUCAGAAAGUGCGGCUAAAUCAAAUUUAAUUCUUUAUAUUUUACUAUCAUCAACAAUUAUUCGCAUUAGAAACUAAUUGCGAUAGUAAAGCAUUGAAAAUGGUCAAAAGCAAAAGAACUAGACAAUAAGCGAGGUAGUCACAUGAUACAAUCAUAAAAAUGUGAGACAAAUUAAAUAAAAAAUCAUCCAGUCUUUUUACUUCGAAGAA
Molecule: long non-coding RNA, 451 nt
Organism: Musca domestica (house fly)
Lineage: Eukaryota; Metazoa; Arthropoda; Insecta; Diptera; Muscidae
Exons: 2
Source: RefSeq, a predicted model, not a curated record